RNAcentral lists this ribosomal RNA (2786 nucleotides) under Escherichia coli. Its description in RNAcentral is "bacterial LSU rRNA". It matches the Rfam family "Bacterial large subunit ribosomal RNA". The record is from RNAcentral. Lineage: Bacteria; Pseudomonadati; Pseudomonadota; Gammaproteobacteria; Enterobacterales; Enterobacteriaceae.
AGCGUACACGGUGGAUGCCCUGGCAGUCAGAGGCGAUGAAGGACGUGCUAAUCUGCGAUAAGCGUCGGUAAGGUGAUAUGAACCGUUAUAACCGGCGAUUUCCGAAUGGGGAAACCCAGUGUGUUUCGACACACUAUCAUUAACUGAAUCCAUAGGUUAAUGAGGCGAACCGGGGGAACUGAAACAUCUAAGUACCCCGAGGAAAAGAAAUCAACCGAGAUUCCCCCAGUAGCGGCGAGCGAACGGGGAGCAGCCCAGAGCCUGAAUCAGUGUGUGUGUUAGUGGAAGCGUCUGGAAAGGCGCGCGAUACAGGGUGACAGCCCCGUACACAAAAAUGCACAUGCUGUGAGCUCGAUGAGUAGGGCGGGACACGUGGUAUCCUGUCUGAAUAUGGGGGGACCAUCCUCCAAGGCUAAAUACUCCUGACUGACCGAUAGUGAACCAGUACCGUGAGGGAAAGGCGAAAAGAACCCCGGCGAGGGGAGUGAAAAAGAACCUGAAACCGUGUACGUACAAGCAGUGGGAGCACGCUUCGGCGUGUGACUGCGUACCUUUUGUAUAAUGGGUCAGCGACUUAUAUUCUGUAGCAAGGUUAACCGAAUAGGGGAGCCGAAGGGAAACCGAGUCUUAACUGGGCGUUAAGUUGCAGGGUAUAGACCCGAAACCCGGUGAUCUAGCCAUGGGCAGGUUGAAGGUUGGGUAACACUAACUGGAGGACCGAACCGACUAAUGUUGAAAAAUUAGCGGAUGACUUGUGGCUGGGGGUGAAAGGCCAAUCAAACCGGGAGAUAGCUGGUUCUCCCCGAAAGCUAUUUAGGUAGCGCCUCGUGAAUUCAUCUCCGGGGGUAGAGCACUGUUUCGGCAAGGGGGUCAUCCCGACUUACCAACCCGAUGCAAACUGCGAAUACCGGAGAAUGUUAUCACGGGAGACACACGGCGGGUGCUAACGUCCGUCGUGAAGAGGGAAACAACCCAGACCGCCAGCUAAGGUCCCAAAGUCAUGGUUAAGUGGGAAACGAUGUGGGAAGGCCCAGACAGCCAGGAUGUUGGCUUAGAAGCAGCCAUCAUUUAAAGAAAGCGUAAUAGCUCACUGGUCGAGUCGGCCUGCGCGGAAGAUGUAACGGGGCUAAACCAUGCACCGAAGCUGCGGCAGCGACACUGUGUGUUGUUGGGUAGGGGAGCGUUCUGUAAGCCUGUGAAGGUGUACUGUGAGGUAUGCUGGAGGUAUCAGAAGUGCGAAUGCUGACAUAAGUAACGAUAAAGCGGGUGAAAAGCCCGCUCGCCGGAAGACCAAGGGUUCCUGUCCAACGUUAAUCGGGGCAGGGUGAGUCGACCCCUAAGGCGAGGCCGAAAGGCGUAGUCGAUGGGAAACAGGUUAAUAUUCCUGUACUUGGUGUUACUGCGAAGGGGGGACGGAGAAGGCUAUGUUGGCCGGGCGACGGUUGUCCCGGUUUAAGCGUGUAGGCUGGUUUUCCAGGCAAAUCCGGAAAAUCAAGGCUGAGGCGUGAUGACGAGGCACUACGGUGCUGAAGCAACAAAUGCCCUGCUUCCAGGAAAAGCCUCUAAGCAUCAGGUAACAUCAAAUCGUACCCCAAACCGACACAGGUGGUCAGGUAGAGAAUACCAAGGCGCUUGAGAGAACUCGGGUGAAGGAACUAGGCAAAAUGGUGCCGUAACUUCGGGAGAAGGCACGCUGAUAUGUAGGUGAAGCGACUUGCUCGUGGAGCUGAAAUCAGUCGAAGAUACCAGCUGGCUGCAACUGUUUAUUAAAAACACAGCACUGUGCAAACACGAAAGUGGACGUAUACGGUGUGACGCCUGCCCGGUGCCGGAAGGUUAAUUGAUGGGGUUAGCGCAAGCGAAGCUCUUGAUCGAAGCCCCGGUAAACGGCGGCCGUAACUAUAACGGUCCUAAGGUAGCGAAAUUCCUUGUCGGGUAAGUUCCGACCUGCACGAAUGGCGUAAUGAUGGCCAGGCUGUCUCCACCCGAGACUCAGUGAAAUUGAACUCGCUGUGAAGAUGCAGUGUACCCGCGGCAAGACGGAAAGACCCCGUGAACCUUUACUAUAGCUUGACACUGAACAUUGAGCCUUGAUGUGUAGGAUAGGUGGGAGGCUUUGAAGUGUGGACGCCAGUCUGCAUGGAGCCGACCUUGAAAUACCACCCUUUAAUGUUUGAUGUUCUAACGUGGACCCGUGAUCCGGGUUGCGGACAGUGUCUGGUGGGUAGUUUGACUGGGGCGGUCUCCUCCUAAAGAGUAACGGAGGAGCACGAAGGUUGGCUAAUCCUGGUCGGACAUCAGGAGGUUAGUGCAAUGGCAUAAGCCAGCUUGACUGCGAGCGUGACGGCGCGAGCAGGUGCGAAAGCAGGUCAUAGUGAUCCGGUGGUUCUGAAUGGAAGGGCCAUCGCUCAACGGAUAAAAGGUACUCCGGGGAUAACAGGCUGAUACCGCCCAAGAGUUCAUAUCGACGGCGGUGUUUGGCACCUCGAUGUCGGCUCAUCACAUCCUGGGGCUGAAGUAGGUCCCAAGGGUAUGGCUGUUCGCCAUUUAAAGUGGUACGCGAGCUGGGUUUAGAACGUCGUGAGACAGUUCGGUCCCUAUCUGCCGUGGGCGCUGGAGAACUGAGGGGGGCUGCUCCUAGUACGAGAGGACCGGAGUGGACGCAUCACUGGUGUUCGGGUUGUCAUGCCAAUGGCACUGCCCGGUAGCUAAAUGCGGAAGAGAUAAGUGCUGAAAGCAUCUAAGCACGAAACUUGCCCCGAGAUGAGUUCUCCCUGACUCCUUGA